This is a long non-coding RNA of Oncorhynchus masou masou (cherry salmon), 1163 nucleotides long. RefSeq lists it as uncharacterized. NCBI's taxonomy places the organism in Eukaryota, Metazoa, Chordata, Actinopteri, Salmoniformes, Salmonidae. The record is from RefSeq and is a predicted model, not a curated record. The transcript is spliced from 6 exons.
CAUCCACCGAGGUAAAGAAAGUUUCAAGUUGGAUAUUCGCGCUUUCAAUCCACUUGAGACAAAGACUCCAAAUAGGUGGCAUGAUGUUGGAAAAAUUGCGCACAACAUUAUUUUCACGAUUUGGACAUUCAUUCGCAUUCCAAAGCUAAUAAACAUGUGGAAAUGUGAGCACUAUUUGGUAUUCCUAGUCGAAUUAGUUAGGGAAGGUAAACAAAGUACAAGCUUUUUUACUUUCGAUUUUUAAUAGCUCCUUGGUCAUAGGACCUUCUUGACUCAAACAAGUGUCAGAAUGUCCACUGACUACCCUUCUGUAUUGCACACCCUUUGGUUUGUUCAUUUUCAUCUCACACGUUUUUACAUGAAUUGUUCAAACUUUAAAAUCGAAAUGGCUCCUUGGUCAUGUGACCUACUGACUUCAAACAAGGUUCAGAAUGUCCACUCGAAGACAAUGAGGCUGCAGGCCAGGUCACAGCUCUGUGGCGAAGAAACAAUUGCCAGGUGGUGGUUGCUGAUGUGAGGUCUACAGACAAAUUCCUCUUUCCUUCUCCAACAUUCGGAGUUUAAAACUCUGCAGCCCCACAAAUGGCUUGUGGAUGAGAGAAUACUUCAAAAUGAGAAGAUCCUGCCAUGGAAAAGAUGACUGGGUGGACAUAAAGUGGAAAGGAGGGGAACUAACUCCCACCAUGCAGCAGGACACCUUCAGCUGCUGGGUCUUUGGAAUGCAGAUGGCCAAGGAAGUUGCACAGAACUUCCCCAACAUCCCAAAUUGAUAUAGAGCCUUCAAAAACACAUGGAGCAACUGCGAAAAGAAAUGGCUGAGGAUAUACUAAAAAUGUCUGAGUUCAACAAAGCCAACAACUACUUCCUGUGUGACACUGAUAAAUACCCUGGAUGUGGCUCAAAGACUGACUGGGUUGAAUGUUUUGCAUGCCAACGGUGGGUCCAUGUGCUGUGCCUAGGAAUGAAGACAAAAGAGUUCAACAGAGUAAAGAACACAAACUGGAAGUGCAGUCUUUGUUGUUGAAAAUCCACACUGAAGAGGCUCUGAAAUGUACAUCAACCAGGGAUAAAGAGAAAGUUAACACUGUGAAAUGAUUUGUACUUUGAAGAAAAGUGUCUGUUGACAUGUUGGAAAAGAUUAAAGGUCUACAAUUUCUGUUUAA